CCUACGGGAUGCACCAGUGGGGAAUAUUGCACAAUGGGCGAAAGCCUGAUGCAGCGACGCCGCGUGAGUGAGGAAGUAUUUCGGUAUGUAAAGCUCUAUCAGCAGGGAAGAAAAUGACGGUACCUGACUAAGAAGCCCCGGCUAACUACGUGCCAGCAGCCGCGGUAAUACGUAGGGGGCAAGCGUUAUCCGGAUUUACUGGGUGUAAAGGGAGCGUAGACGGUAGUGUAAGUCUGAUGUGAAAGCCCGGGGCUCAACCCCGGGACUGCAUUGGAAACUAUAUAAUUAGAGUGUCGGAGAGGUAAGUGGAAUUCCUAGUGUAGCGGUGAAAUGCGUAGAUAUUAGGAGGAACACCAGUGGCGAAGGCGGCUUACUGGACGAUUACUGACGUUGAGGCUCGAAAGCGUGGGGAGCAAAUAGGAUUAGAUACCCCUGUAGUC
Molecule: ribosomal RNA, 440 nt
Filed under: uncultured bacterium
Lineage: Bacteria
Description: bacterial SSU rRNA
Rfam family: Bacterial small subunit ribosomal RNA
Source: RNAcentral